This 451-nucleotide ribosomal RNA is filed under the name uncultured bacterium. Its description in RNAcentral is "partial 16S ribosomal RNA". It matches the Rfam family "Bacterial small subunit ribosomal RNA", at positions 28 to 507 of the family's 1533-position model. The record is from RNAcentral.
GAUGAACGCUGGCGGCGUGCCUAACACAAGCAAGUCGAGCGGCAGCGAGGGGUGCUUGCACCCUGUCGGCGAGCGGCGGACGGCUGAGUAACGCGUGGGAACGUGCCCCAAAGUGAGGAAUAACUGCCCGAAAGGGUAGCUAAUACCGCAUAUUAUCUUCGGAUCAAAGGAUUUAUCCGCUUUGGGAGCGGCUCGCGUCGGAUUAGGUAGUUGGUGAGGUAAUGGCUCACCAAGCCGACGAUCCGUAGCUGGUCUGAGAGGAUGACCAGCCAGACUGGAACUGAGACACGGUCCAGACUCCUACGGGAGGCAGCAGUGAGGAAUCUUCCACAAUGGGCGAAAGCCUGAUGGAGCAACGCCGCGUGCAGGACGAAGGCCUUCGGGUUGUAAACUGCUUUUAUAAGUGAGGAAUAUGACGGUAACUUAUGAAUAAGGAUCGGCUAACUACGUG